This is a long non-coding RNA of Myxocyprinus asiaticus (Chinese sucker), 278 nucleotides long. RefSeq lists it as uncharacterized. NCBI's taxonomy places the organism in Eukaryota, Metazoa, Chordata, Actinopteri, Cypriniformes, Catostomidae. The transcript has 3 exons. The record is from RefSeq and is a predicted model, not a curated record.
UCCUGUUCUUGCAGGCAGUUACUAAGAAGUUUGGGAGCAGUACUUUCCGGAGUUCUCUGGAAAAUGGAGUUCAGUUGUGUGAUCUGAUCAACAAGAUCUGGCAUCAUUAAGAAACUAAACAGACUAUCCACACCUCUUGCUGGCCUGGUGGACACAUAUUCUUUGCCGGCAGGACAACCUCACCCUCUUCCUAAAAGUCUGUGUCAAGCUUGGACUAAAAGAGGCCCAGCUUUUCCACCCAGGAGACCUGCAAGACUUAUCCACACGUGUAACUGUCA